This 73-nucleotide transfer RNA is filed under the name Chloroflexota bacterium. RNAcentral's name for it is "Chloroflexi bacterium tRNA-Leu". It matches the Rfam family "tRNA". Rfam says of the family: Transfer RNA (tRNA) molecules are approximately 80 nucleotides in length. Their secondary structure includes four short double-helical elements and three loops (D, anti-codon, and T loops). Further hydrogen bonds mediate the characteristic L-shaped molecular structure. tRNAs have two regions of fundamental functional importance: the anti-codon, which is responsible for specific mRNA codon recognition, and the 3' end, to which the tRNAs corresponding amino acid is attached (by aminoacyl-tRNA synthetases). tRNAs cope with the degeneracy of the genetic code in two manners: having more than one tRNA (with a specific anti-codon) for a particular amino acid; and 'wobble' base-pairing, i.e. permitting non-standard base-pairing at the 3rd anti-codon position. Lineage: Bacteria; Bacillati; Chloroflexota. The record is from RNAcentral. RNAcentral also lists the same sequence under 1 other name.
GCCGGAGUAGACCAAUGGCAGAGUCGAGUCGCUCAAACCGACUUCAGUGAGGGUUCGAAUCCCUCCUCCGGCA